Leptidea sinapis is the source of this 286-nucleotide long non-coding RNA. RefSeq lists it as uncharacterized. The record is from RefSeq and is a predicted model, not a curated record. Lineage: Eukaryota; Metazoa; Arthropoda; Insecta; Lepidoptera; Pieridae. The transcript has 3 exons.
CAAAGAUGGCCGCCGCUCAUAAUUAUGAUUUCAGCAAUAUGGAUAUCGUGUCCGAGGUUCUCGAGGGUGCAGAGAACGAUUGUGUGAUCAUAUUUGAAAUCCAAGAUGGCCGCCGCACAAAAUUAUGAUUUCAGCAAUAUGGAUAUCGUGUCCGAGGUUCUCGAGGGUGCAGAGAACGAUUGUGUGAUCAUAUUUGAAAUCCAAGAUGGCCGCCGCUCAUAAUUAUGAUUUCAGCAAUAUGGAUAUCGUGUCCGAGGUUCUCGAGGGUGCAGAGAACGAUUCUGUG